AUUUUAUGGGUUUAACAUCAACAUUUCAUCAUUCACAUAAUUCAAUCAAAUUACAUAUAUUUAACAACAACAUUUUCAUUAUUCCAACAAUUCAAUCAAAUUUCAUGGGUUUAACAACAACAUUUUCAUUAUACACACAACUCAAUCAAAUUUCAUGGGUUUAACAACAACAUUUUUAUCAUUCACAUAAUUCAAUCAAAUUCUAUCAGUUUAAAAAUAACAUUUUCAUCCUUUACAGAAUUCAAUCAAAUUUCACGGGUUUAACGACAACAUUUUCAUCAUUCAUACAAUUCAAUCAAAUUUUAUGAGUUUAACAACAACAUUUUCAUCAUUCACACAAUUCAAUCAAAUUUCAUGGGUUUAACAACAACAACAUUUUCAUCAUUCAUAAAAUUCAAUCAAAUUUCAUGGGUUCAACAACAACAACAUUUUCAUUAUUUACACAAUUUUAUCUAAUUUCAUUGGUUUAACAUUAACAUUUUCAUCAUUCACACAAUUCAAUCAAAUUUCAUGAAUUUAAGAACAACAACAUUUUCAUCAUUCACACAAUUCAAUCAUAUUUCAUGGGUUUAAGAACAACAACAAAUUCUUCAUUCAUACAAUUCAAUCAAAUUUCAUGGUUUCAACAACAACAACAUUUUCAUUAUUCACACAAUUCUAUCAAAUUUCAUUGGUUUAACAUCAACAUUUUCAUCAUUCACACAGUUCAAUCAAAUUUCAUGGAUUUAACAAGAACAACAUUUUCAUCAUUCACACAAUUCAAUCAAAUUUCAUGGGUUUAAGAACAACAUUUUUAUCGUUCACACAACUAAAUCAAAUUUCAUGGGUUUAACGACAAUAUU
RNAcentral lists this long non-coding RNA (842 nucleotides) under Lathyrus oleraceus (garden pea). Its description in RNAcentral is "Pisum sativum (pea) long non-coding RNA (PSAT_LNC016114)". Lineage: Eukaryota; Viridiplantae; Streptophyta; Magnoliopsida; Fabales; Fabaceae. The record is from RNAcentral.